GGGAAACAAAGCAGAGAUGAAUGAAAAUGGAGGAGGUGAGGGAGAUGAGGGGCUCCCUCUCCUUAUUUAUCGGGCAUAUUACAUAUUUCCCAUUUGCCCCUGAAUAUUUAUGAGCGAACUAGCUAGCCAUAGAGGCAUUCUAGUCCAACUCGUCAUAACCUAGAUCCGACGGCCACCGCGCCCUUCAUGAGGUAGCUUAGCCUUGACGCCAACUCCUCGAUGCCGCCAUGUGUCGUCCGUUCCUCGGAACCUCCGCUCAGGUUUUGAAGCCCAAACCCGCAAAACCCGCCGCGGGUAGCGUACUCCAUACGCAUCCCCUGCUGGUCGACACGUGUCACCGCCGUCCUCGACCGGCCAGCCCGCCAAGUCCUCCCGAGCCUCGCUCGACUCGCACGUCCGCCGUCUUGACUUGGUGAACACGGUCACUCCCAUGUACACUCGCACUUGUCGAUGUCUCAGAUGUCAGCCACUAUGGCUGGUCACCCGGCCACCUUGUCCGUCAGUCCAAGCCUCACGUCCGCCCUUCACCGCUCGAGGUCCAUCGGCACGACACGUCUCCACUUGACCUUCUCCUCGCCGUCGACCACCGCCUCCGACCUGCACACCACAAGCCAAGAGACAUGUCACACACAUAGCUUUCACCAUGGUAAUGUUAGUCAAAAACUCAACCUAUUCGUGGAUCAUGUUGAUAAUCACUCAUCAUAAAACGAACUACAAGGGUACUUGUCGACCUUGUGUUCGCAGAAACUAAUGCGAUCUCGGUAACAAAGCAUCCACAAAGAUUAAAGUGACACUAGCAGCAAUUCAUCCACCACAAAAGCUCAACGACAAUAUUGCAAAGCAUAGGGGAGACCCAAACAACUUCGGUUGUAAAGCAUUCACCACGAGAACUAAUGUGAUCUCGGCGGCAAAGGAUCCACGGAGACUAAAAGCUGAACGAUAACGGCAAAGCAUCUGCCAAGAUGAUCCAAACAAUGCUAGAACUCUUUGCCAAGAUGAUCCAAACAAUGCUAGAACCUCAC
RNAcentral lists this long non-coding RNA (1022 nucleotides) under Sorghum bicolor (sorghum). RNAcentral describes it as "long non-coding RNA (SBIC_LNC007724)". The record is from RNAcentral. Lineage: Eukaryota; Viridiplantae; Streptophyta; Magnoliopsida; Poales; Poaceae.